ACACCUGGAAUAAUCCGUAAAAAAAGAAGGAAAAUUCAGAGCCCACUACCAAGACUCCCUCCAACUAGCCCAGACAUGGAGUGUUUUUCCAAUUAACAAGCACCACAUUUUUAGCCAUUGAUCUUUGCAUCUAUAUUGGCAAGACGACUAUCUGCUUCAAGAUCUUUAGCUUUAGUCACUAUAUUCUCAUACCCCUUGUCACCGGGCAUCAUCCCCAUAAAGUAUGCAUCAUCAUGUUCAUAUAAAGGAUGUCACUGUCUUGAAUCAAAUUUUCCUGGAUCUUGCACCUCCAGCUUACAACGAACCGAUCACUCCAGCUUUCUCAAAAUUCAAAACAAAACAUGUUAGAAUGGACUUAGUCUGUCCUUAUUAUUAACAAUAUCUUUUUCUUUUGCGUUUUCUUUUUUUUCAAUUUUUUUUUGUUGUGGUCGAAUCUUUUGGAGAUUGCCUACGUAUCAUGACCCCGCAUGAAUCAGACCUUGCGUAGUUCGGACCAAUAAAAGAUAAAUAAUAAUAAAACAUUUUUUUGGAAUUUUCAACUUUCAUAACAAAACCAACUUUAAUUACAAUGGGUUAAAACGGACCAUACUAUCAAAAUUUGACAAAAAGUCAACAUACAGACUCGAAAUUAAAACAACCCGCAUAUUCUAUCAAAAGAAUAAAACCCAAAAACAAACGGGUAGAUUAAUUUAC
RNAcentral lists this long non-coding RNA (693 nucleotides) under Nicotiana benthamiana. RNAcentral describes it as "long non-coding RNA (NBEN_LNC010355)". The record is from RNAcentral. Lineage: Eukaryota; Viridiplantae; Streptophyta; Magnoliopsida; Solanales; Solanaceae.